AAGGUAGCAUAAUCAGUAGUCUUUUAAUUGAAGGCUGGGAUGAAUGGCUAGAUGAAACAUAAGCUGUCUCCACNGGAAUAUAUAAAAAUUUAAUUAUUUAGUCAAAAAGCUAAAAUGAAAUUAAGGGACGAGAAGACCCUAUAGAUCUUUAUAGAUUUAUGUUAUNAGAGUUAGAUGAGUUAUUUUAUAACAAAAAUUCUAUUUGGUUGGGGUGACAAGGAAAUACAAAAACUUUCUUAAGAAGAAACACAGAUUUGUGAAUUAAUUAGAUCCAGAAUUUUUGAUUAAAAGAAUAAGUUACCUUAGGGAUAACAGCAUAAUCUUCUCUGAGAGUUCUAAUCGAGGAGAGGGGUUGUGACCUCGAUGUUGAAUUAAGAU
Molecule: ribosomal RNA, 378 nt
Filed under: Ulmeritoides sp. 2 MM-2019
Lineage: Eukaryota; Metazoa; Arthropoda; Insecta; Ephemeroptera; Leptophlebiidae
Description: partial 16S ribosomal RNA
Rfam family: Bacterial large subunit ribosomal RNA
Source: RNAcentral